GAUGAACGCUGGCGGCGUGCCUAAUACAUGCAAGUCGAGCGAACAGACGAGGAGCUUGCUCCUCUGACGUUAGCGGCGGACGGGUGAGUAACACGUGGAUAACCUACCUAUAAGACUGGGAUAACUUCGGGAAACCGGAGCUAAUACCGGAUAAUAUAUUGAACCGCAUGGUUCAAUAGUGAAAGACGGUUUUGCUGUCACUUAUAGAUGGAUCCGCGCCGCAUUAGCUAGUUGGUAAGGUAACGGCUUACCAAGGCAACGAUGCGUAGCCGACCUGAGAGGGUGAUAGGCCACACGGGAACGGAGACACGGUCCAGACUCCUAAGGGAGGCAGCAGUAGGGAAUCUGACGCAAUGGGCGAAAGCCUGACGGAGCAACGCCGCGUGAGUGAUGAAGGUCUUCGGAUCGUAAAACUCUGUUAUUAGGGAAGAACAAAUGUGUAAGUAACUAUGCACGUCUUGACGGUACCUAAUCAGAAAGCCACGGCUAACUACGUG
RNAcentral lists this ribosomal RNA (497 nucleotides) under uncultured bacterium. Its description in RNAcentral is "partial 16S ribosomal RNA". It matches the Rfam family "Bacterial small subunit ribosomal RNA", at positions 28 to 507 of the family's 1533-position model. The record is from RNAcentral.